This 461-nucleotide ribosomal RNA is filed under the name uncultured bacterium. RNAcentral describes it as "partial 16S ribosomal RNA". It matches the Rfam family "Bacterial small subunit ribosomal RNA", at positions 338 to 795 of the family's 1533-position model. The record is from RNAcentral.
CCUACGGGAGGCAGCAGUGAGGAAUAUUGGUCAAUGGGCGCGAGCCUGAACCAGCCAAGUCGCGUGAGGGAGGACGGCCCUACGGGUUGUAAACCUCUUUUGCCGGGGAGCAACGGGCGUCACGUGUGGCGCCACUGAGAGUACCCGGAGAAAAAGCAUCGGCUAACUCCGUGCCAGCAGCCGCGGUAAUACGGAGGAUGCGAGCGUUAUCCGGAUUUAUUGGGCGUAAAGAGGGAGCAGGCGGCCUGGAGGGUCUAUUGUUAAAAGGCAAUGGCUUAACCAUUGUAAGGCGAAGAAACCGGCAGGCUUGAGUUCUAGAGAGGAACGUGGAAUUCGAUGUGUAGCGGUGAAAUGCGUAGAUAUAUGGAAGAACACCAGUGGCGAAGGCAGCGAUCUGGGAAGAAACAGACGCUGAGGCCCGAAAGCGUGGGGAGCGAAUAGGAUUAGAUACCCUAGUAGUC